RNAcentral lists this Y RNA (113 nucleotides) under Cebus imitator (Panamanian white-faced capuchin). RNAcentral's name for it is "Y RNA (ENSCCAG00000014859.1)". It matches the Rfam family "Y RNA". Rfam says of the family: Y RNAs are components of the Ro ribonucleoprotein particle (Ro RNP), in association with Ro60 and La proteins. Lineage: Eukaryota; Metazoa; Chordata; Mammalia; Primates; Cebidae. The record is from Rfam by way of RNAcentral.
GGCUUGUCCAAAGGUAGUGAGUGAUCGAAAGUGACUGUUCACACUAAGUUAUAGAUCGAACUCCUUGUUCUACUGUUUUCCCCCUUCUCACUACUGCACUUGACUAGUCUUUA